This 466-nucleotide ribosomal RNA is filed under the name uncultured bacterium. RNAcentral describes it as "partial 16S ribosomal RNA". It matches the Rfam family "Bacterial small subunit ribosomal RNA", at positions 28 to 506 of the family's 1533-position model. The record is from RNAcentral.
GACGAACGCUGGCGGCGUGCUUAACACAUGCAAGUCGAACGGAAAGGCCUCUUUCGGGGGGUACUCGAGUGGCGAACGGGUGAGUAACACGUGAGUAACCUGCCCUUGACUUUGGGAUAACUUCAGGAAACUGGGGCUAAUACCGGAUAGGAGCUCCUGCUGCAUGGUGGGGGUUGGAAAGUUUCGGCGGUUGGGGAUGGACUCGCGGCUUAUCAGCUUGUUGGUGGGGUAGUGGCUUACCAAGGCUUUGACGGGUAGCCGGCCUGAGAGGGUGACCGGCCACAUUGGGACUGAGAGACGGCCCAGACUCCUACGGGAGGCAGCAGUGGGGAAUAUUGCACAAUGGGUGGAAGCCUGAUGCAGCAACGCCGUGUGCGGGAUGACGGCCUUCGGGUUGUAAACCGCUUUCGCUCAUGACGAAGCUUUGUGUGACGGUAGUGGGUAAAGAAGCACCGGCUAACUACGU